RNAcentral lists this long non-coding RNA (439 nucleotides) under Nicotiana benthamiana. RNAcentral's name for it is "long non-coding RNA (NBEN_LNC030384)". The record is from RNAcentral. Lineage: Eukaryota; Viridiplantae; Streptophyta; Magnoliopsida; Solanales; Solanaceae.
ACAACGUUGUGAGCAAGAGUACAGAAGGGAGCAAGAACAACAACGCCGCGGCCAAGGGGAGAUCAUAGAAGAAAAUCAAGGACGAGGCCAACGCGAACCUGAGAGGAGAUUUAGAGAGUGCCAACAGAGAUGCCAAAGACAAGAACAGGGCCAACAACAGAGACGGUGCCAACAACGUUGCGAGCAAGAAUACAGGAGAGAGCAAGAACAACAACGUGGUGGCUCGGAGGAGAUCCUAGAAGAAAAUCAAGGACGAGGCCAACGUGAGCCCGAGAGGAGAUUCAGAGAAUGCCAGCAGAGGUGCCAAAGACAAGAACAAGGCCAACAACAGAGACAGUGCCAACAACGUUGCGAGCAAGAAUACAGGAGAGAACAGGAACAACGAGGCCCCGAGGAGAGCGAAGAAGAUAAUCAAGGCCGUGACCCCCAAAGGAGAUUC